ACCCACGGUACCUCCUGGGACCUGAGGCAGCACCUCAGGAAACACCUGCUGCUCAUCAGAUUCCCAGGCCCAGCCCUCACC
Molecule: microRNA precursor, 81 nt
Organism: Bos grunniens (domestic yak)
Lineage: Eukaryota; Metazoa; Chordata; Mammalia; Artiodactyla; Bovidae
Source: Ensembl